GAUAAACGCUGGCGGCGCACAUAAGACAUGCAAGUUGAACGGACUUAAUCGAAAUAUUUAUAUUUUGAAGCGGUUAGUGGCGGACUGGUGAGUAACGCGUAAGGAACCUGCCUAUUAGAGGGGAAUAACAGUGAGAAAUCAUGCUAAUACCGCAUAUGCCAUAGAUAUCACAUGAUAAAAGUGGGAAAGGAGCAAUCCGCUAAUAGAUGGCCUUGCGUCUGAUUAGAUAGUUGGUGGGGUAACGGCCUACCAAGUCGACGAUCAGUAGCCGGACUGAGAGGUUGAACGGCCACAUUGGGACUGAGAUACGGCCCAGACUCCUACGGGAGGCAGCAGUCGGGAAUAUUGCGCAAUGGAGGAAACUCUGACGCAGUGACGCCGCGUAUAGGAAGAAGGUUUUCGGAUUGUAAACUAUUGUCGUUAGGGAAGAGAAAGGACAGUACCUAAGGAGGAAGCUCCGGCUAACUACGUG
RNAcentral lists this ribosomal RNA (472 nucleotides) under uncultured bacterium. Its description in RNAcentral is "partial 16S ribosomal RNA". It matches the Rfam family "Bacterial small subunit ribosomal RNA", at positions 28 to 507 of the family's 1533-position model. The record is from RNAcentral.